CUGUGACCUAACCAGGGUAAACACUGUCUCCCUAGCUACCCACUCCAUGACUAAUCACCUGCAGCCAAGGGUGGGUCAUACUAUGGGAACAGCAGACCAAAGGCAUCCACUGCCAGACCGUGAGUUAUCAACUGCAGCCAAGGCUGGGUCAUACUACGGGAACAGCGGACCGAAGGCAUCCACUGCCAGACCGUGAGUUAUCAACUGCAGCCAAGGCUGGGUCAUACUACAGGAACAGCGGACUGAAGGCAUCCACUGCCAGACCGUGAGUUAUCAACUGCAGCCAAGGCUGGGUCAUACUACGGGAAGAGCGGACCGAAGGCAUCCACUGCCAGACCGUGAGUUAUCAACUGCAGCCAAGGCUGGGUCAUACUACGGGAACAGCGGACUGAAGGCAUCCACUGCCAGACCAUAAGUUAUCAACUGUAGCCAAGGGUGGGUCAUACUAUGGGAACAGCGGACUGAAGGCAUCCACUGCCAGACCGUGAGUUAUCAACUGCAGCCAAGGCUGGGUCAUACUACGGGAACAGCGGACUGAAGGCAUCCACUGCCAGACCAUGAAUUAUCAACUGAAGCCAACGACCUCAAUAAAGCUGGGAAACAAAGUUACCAGGUUAUAGUUACAUGGAUGAUGGCAGAAGACACAGAAUCCUAGAACAGAGGCAAAGAACUUUAUGAGCUAUGGCACAGCAUAAAGCUGGGGCUCUGCCUGAGAGCCUGAGGUUUUUCCAAAGCUCUUCCUCCUUCCUGGUUCCUGAACUCAAGCAUGAAGGCCCCUCAGCUUCUUGAGAACACCAACUCUGCUCUGUUAGUCAACAACAUUAAUUCUUAGUCACCAGCUCAGUGGAGCUUAAAUAUUAAGCAUUUGCCUUAAAGGCAAGACUGCUGAGCAUGUGGCUCACAGCUACUGGUUGGCCCUCCAAGUCCUGCCUACCUCGGCAGUUCCAAGUUCUAGCUUUAUGUCUGCAGCCCCAGAUGUUCCCUAAAGCUCAGGUUAAUAUCCAGAGUCACACGUGGAGAGGAAGCAUCACAAUGAGACCAUACAACCAUAUAAUCUGUUCAAGUCCUAGAAGGUGUUGGCAGAGCUGCAGGACUGACCUAGGUCAAUGGCUGUGGGACCACAGGGAAGAAAAGACACCAGAUGUUUCCGAUCAAGAGACAAGAGAAACAUUCAGCGUGACCCUAGAAAAUCUUUCUAAAGAGAUUUCACAACACUCAGCUCAUGUUUCGGGUCCAUGAAACCAUCUUUAGAUGAAUGAUGCCUUGUUACCUGUGAGAGGAAGUGAGCAGCGAGGAGUCCUGUCAGUUCCGGAAGGAGUAUUUGGGUUACUGUUCUUCAUUGUCUGCAGUUCUGUCUUGCUCAGUCGCCCAGGCUGAAGUGCAGUGGUGUGA
RNAcentral lists this long non-coding RNA (1392 nucleotides) under Homo sapiens (human). RNAcentral describes it as "HSALNT0344690". Lineage: Eukaryota; Metazoa; Chordata; Mammalia; Primates; Hominidae. The record is from RNAcentral.